This 569-nucleotide small RNA is filed under the name Pongo abelii (Sumatran orangutan). Its description in RNAcentral is "retained intron". The record is from RNAcentral. Lineage: Eukaryota; Metazoa; Chordata; Mammalia; Primates; Hominidae.
AUUUUAUGACAUGAACACAUAGCAAGUCUUAGAUUUAGGUUUUAACCCUUAGCCUAGUGUUACCUGCAUUUGUGUUUUCCAAGUCUGUUGAUUGCUGAUGCGGGCUUGAGGGGUUUUGCAUUUCAUGCUUUUUAUUGAUUCUAAUGUCUUUCUCACUUUAGCCAUGUUUCCUGAGAGACUGGGAGUUGCAGGUGCACUUCAAAAUCCAUGGACAAGGAAAGAAGAAUCUGCAUGGGGAUGGCUUGGCAAUCUGGUACACAAAGGAUCGGAUGCAGCCAGGGCCUGUGUUUGGAAACAUGGACAAAUUUGUGGGGCUGGGAGUAUUUGUAGACACCUACCCCAAUGAGGAGAAGCAGCAAGAGCGGGUAUUCCCCUACAUCUCAGCCAUGGUGAACAACGGCUCCCUGAGCUAUGAUCAUGAGCGGGAUGGGCGGCCUACAGAGCUGGGAGGCUGCACGGCCAUUGUCCGCAAUCUUCAUUACGACACCUUCCUGGUGAUUCGCUAUGUCAAGAGGCAUUUGACGAUAAUGAUGGAUAUUGAUGGCAAGCAUGAGUGGAGGGACUGCAUU